AUGACAAGAGAUAUUCAUCAUGAAGCCAAAGCUCAGGACAUCAUUGAGCUUACCUCUCUGCCCACUCUAGGUGAGUUGUACGAACCUGGUUGUCAGCUUCAUCUGAACGAACUGCAAAGCAUCUUUCAGAGGCCAAAGCCCAACAUGAGCUAA
Molecule: ribosomal RNA, 153 nt
Filed under: Triticum aestivum (bread wheat)
Lineage: Eukaryota; Viridiplantae; Streptophyta; Magnoliopsida; Poales; Poaceae
Description: partial small subunit ribosomal RNA
Source: RNAcentral